Molecule: non-coding RNA, 25 nt
Filed under: Mus musculus (house mouse)
Lineage: Eukaryota; Metazoa; Chordata; Mammalia; Rodentia; Muridae
Source: RNAcentral
UGUUUUAUGGUGAUAACAGAGUCGC